Molecule: transfer-messenger RNA, 348 nt
Filed under: Tissierellia bacterium
Lineage: Bacteria; Bacillati; Bacillota; Tissierellia
Rfam family: transfer-messenger RNA
About the family: Bacterial tmRNA, also known as 10Sa RNA or SsrA, is named for its dual tRNA and mRNA-like properties. Its role is to liberate the mRNA from a stalled ribosome.
Source: RNAcentral
GGGGACGAAAAUGGUUUCGACGGGGAUUCGGAAACUCCAGUAGCAAGCCGUUGUUGAGUCACACAACGUAAAACAGGCUCAAAAAAACAAAUGCUAACAACAACGAAUUAGCACUGGCAGCGUAACUCACGCUACCCGCUGAACCGGGAACUCCACGGCCCGGGGAAGUGUCAUUCAGUGGAGAACUUCGCGGGCUAAGCUUUGCCCCCAGCGUCGUAUGAUGAAGCUACCCGAGAGAAAGUUUGGUUGACUCUUCUUCUCAAGGGGAAAACAAAGAGACAACUGAGCUUGGAGAAGCUGUUGCGGAAGAAUUUUCGGACGCGAGUUCGACUCUCGCCGUCUCCACCA